Molecule: ribosomal RNA, 376 nt
Filed under: uncultured bacterium
Lineage: Bacteria
Description: bacterial SSU rRNA
Rfam family: Bacterial small subunit ribosomal RNA
Source: RNAcentral
UAAUACGUAGGGCGCAAGCGUUGUCCGGAAUUAUUGGGCGUAAAGAGCUCGUAGGCGGCUUGUCACGUCGGGUGUGAAAGCCCGGGGCUUAACCCCGGGUCUGCAUUCGAUACGGGCUAGCUAGAGUGUGGUAGGGGAGAUCGGAAUUCCUGGUGUAGCGGUGAAAUGCGCAGAUAUCAGGAGGAACACCGGUGGCGAAGGCGGAUCUCUGGGCCAUUACUGACGCUGAGGAGCGAAAGCGUGGGGAGCGAACAGGAUUAGAUACCCUGGUAGUCCACGCCGUAAACGGUGGGAACUAGGUGUUGGCGACAUUCCACGUCGUCGGUGCCGCAGCUAACGCAUUAAGUUCCCCGCCUGGGGAGUACGGCCGCAAGGC